Molecule: transfer RNA, 72 nt
Filed under: Marmota monax (woodchuck)
Lineage: Eukaryota; Metazoa; Chordata; Mammalia; Rodentia; Sciuridae
Rfam family: tRNA
About the family: Transfer RNA (tRNA) molecules are approximately 80 nucleotides in length.
Source: Rfam by way of RNAcentral
GGGGGUGUUGCUCAGUGGUAGAGCACAUGCUUAGCAUGCCUGAGGCCCUGGGUUCUACCCCCAGCAUUACCA